GUAGCGGUGAAAUGCUUAGAUAUCACGAAGNACUCCAAUUGCGAAGGCAGCUUACUAGGCUACAACUGACGCUGAAGCACGAAAGCGUGGGGAUCAAACAGGAUUAGAUANCCUGGUAGUCCACGCAGUAAACGAUGAUAACUAGCUGUUAGCGAUAUACUGUUAGCGGCACAGAGAAAUCGUUAAGCAUUCCACCUGGGGAGUACGCCGGCAACGGUGAAACUCAAAGGAAUUGACGGGGGCCCGCACAAGCGGAGGAACAUGUGGUUUAAUUCGAUGAUACGCGAGGAACCUUACCUGGGCUUAAAUUGCAGUGGAAUAACGUGGAAACAUGUUAGCCUUCGGGCCGCUGUGAAGGUGCUGCAUGGUUGUCGUCAGCUCGUGCCGUGAGGUGUCGGCUUAAGUGCCAUAACGAGCGCAACCCUCAUCGAUAGUUACUAACAGGUUAAGCUGAGGACUCUAUCGAGACUGCCGACGUAAGUCGUGAGGAAGGUGGGGAUGACGUCAAAUCAGCACGGCCCUUACGUCCAGGGCUACACACGUGUUACAAUGGGGGGUACAAAGGGCAGCUACCUGGCGACAGGAUGCUAAUCUCUAAAACCUUUCUCAGUUCGGAUUGGAGUCUGCAACUCGACUCCAUGAAGCUGGAUUCGCUAGUAAUCGCGCAUCAGCCAUGGCGCGGUGAAUACGUUCCCGGGCCUUGUACACACCGCCCGUCAAGCCAUGGAAGCUGGGGGUACCUGAAGUAUGCAACCGCAAGGAGCGUCCUAGGGUAAAACCGGUAACUGGGGCU
This 793-nucleotide ribosomal RNA is filed under the name uncultured prokaryote. RNAcentral describes it as "bacterial SSU rRNA". It matches the Rfam family "Bacterial small subunit ribosomal RNA", at positions 675 to 1482 of the family's 1533-position model. The record is from RNAcentral.